Non-coding RNA from Camelina sativa (false flax), 1465 nucleotides. NCBI's taxonomy places the organism in Eukaryota, Viridiplantae, Streptophyta, Magnoliopsida, Brassicales, Brassicaceae. The record is from RefSeq and is a predicted model, not a curated record.
ACUUAUCUCUCUUUCUUUGUCUUACUAAUACAUGAGUUCAUUUUGUUUUUCCGGUUUAGUAGACCAAAAAAUAAUACUGAGGAGAGAGAUGGUAAUGAUAAGUAUUAUAUGGUUACGUGUUUAAUAGGCAGAGGCAUGAUGAAAGGAUGAAAAGGGGAGGUGAUAUCAAAAGUGUUUUUAGGCCUUUGCUGCAGAUUACUGGCCAUUUUUAAGAAAAACGAAGAACGAAGAAGCAAAAAUUGGUAAUAGAGGAGAUUAAAAAUUAAAGAGAAUAGUUGCUUCUUUCUUUUGUUGUGAUUUGUGAAAUCCAUUUUUUACUAAAAAUCUUCUAAAAUCACCCGUUAUAAUCUCUUUGAAUCUCAUCAAAUCACAAACAAAAUAUUUAACAAUUCCACCAAAUAUCCUUAAAACUCUCUUAAAAUCUCUCAAAAUCUCUAAUUUCCUAAAUUCCAUAAAAUCCCCCAAAAUCAUGGUUUGAAUACAUCCCCUGAUCAAUAUACUAUUUCCUAAAUAUUAAGGUGUUCUUCUCUCAUCAAUCUCUAUCACUAUCUCUCGUUGAGAUCUUGAUCUUGUAUCUGUAUUGUGUAUAUAUAUAUUCGUAUAUAUCUACACAUCAAUGGAAAGUAUCAAGUUCCAAACUCUUACACUUUCUUCCUUCUUUCGUCUGCUAUAAUCCAUAUUAUGUAUGUGACCUAAACUGUGACGAUUUUCAAUUUUGCUUAGGUACCAAUUUCAUAUAGAGAAGAAGAUAGAGCAAAAGAGGAACACGAAGCUCUGGCUGUGUGUCUCUCUUCGCGUGUUUCUAUCUUUAUUAUAAAUAUAAAAAGACAAGAUCUCUUCUCAUUUCAGGGUUUUUUUACUUAGGAUUAAGCUCCAAUGGCAAAUCGAAUGUUCGAGAACAAUAAAAAAAAAAAAAAAAAGCAAACCACAGCUGCUGCCCACGUAGAGUGGUUUAAAAAGAAGCACACGAAUGCUCUUUUUUAGAAGCUCUUUGAACAGUUUUGACUACUAGUCACAAUUGGACAAACACCAAUCUCAAAUACAUGUUGCAUCGACAAUGCACCCUUGCAGUGCCGAGGAAGAAGAUAGAAAAAUACCACAGGAGAUAAAUCCGGUUGAAGACUUCUUCUUGGAAAGGCUAUGAGACCAAUGCGCAGAGUAAGGGGAAAGUGGCUUUUGUAUAUGCUUAUCGAAUCCACCAGCUGCAUAUGUGCUCUCGCAUCUUUAUAUAUUUGUUUUCUUGAAUAUUGUAUAGGGUAUCAUCAGUAUUCCAACGGUACGGUAUGUGAAUCCGAGUAUUCGACAAAAUUUUACAGUGAAAAUGUCUUGUUAUGCGGAUCCUGAGAGGUUCAGGUUUGCGAACAUGCGGAGUGCUGUUGUGUGUGCAUUUUCAGACAGUUGUUUGGAUCUGUGACCAAAUUUGGUUACGUAGCACUAAGGUCAUCCCCAAUGGGGGGUUUUAAGA